UUUGGCCAAUUUUGCACAUUUGGAACUCUAUGUUGUGAAAACCAAUCAACACCUACGCAUACAUGACCGUAUGUCAAUGGAAGGAUAUCACACCACACCUCCUCAUGGUAUUCAAAUUCGGAGAAGACAACCUUGACCCUCUAGGUAACCUUAAACCCAUCCAAGAAGUAUGCAACAAGUAAAGGAUCACGAAAAAACCCCAAAUAGUCAACGAUGGAUAGAACAAUGUAGUUACUAUAGUACCUAUCAUUUAACACAACUAGGCAGCCCGGUAUCCUACAAAUGGUCACCUUUUCGGAGUGUACACUCCUUCUCGGAUCAACAUUGUAAAGAACACGAGUACCCCUCAAUUUUGGAGAUGCAUACCCUCUUCUUCUCGUUGGACAACCUCCACUAGAGCUAUUAUAACCAUUCACACUAUAUCGNNNN
RNAcentral lists this long non-coding RNA (429 nucleotides) under Capsicum annuum. RNAcentral describes it as "long non-coding RNA (CANN_LNC013405)". Lineage: Eukaryota; Viridiplantae; Streptophyta; Magnoliopsida; Solanales; Solanaceae. The record is from RNAcentral.